This 241-nucleotide ribosomal RNA is filed under the name uncultured Staphylococcus sp. Its description in RNAcentral is "partial 16S ribosomal RNA". It matches the Rfam family "Bacterial small subunit ribosomal RNA", at positions 99 to 334 of the family's 1533-position model. The record is from RNAcentral. Lineage: Bacteria; Bacillati; Bacillota; Bacilli; Caryophanales; Staphylococcaceae.
CGUACGGGUGAGUAACACGUGGAUAACCUACCUAUAAGACUGGGAUAACUUCGGGAAACCGGAGCUAAUACCGGAUAAUAUAUUGAACCGCAUGGUUCAAUAGUGAAAGACGGUUUUGCUGUCACUUAUAGAUGGAUCCGCGUCGCAUUAGCUAGUUGGUAAGGUAACGGCUUACCAAGGCAACGAUGCGUAGCCGACCUGAGAGGGUGAUCGGCCACACUGGAACUGAGACACGGUCCAG